RNAcentral lists this ribosomal RNA (253 nucleotides) under uncultured bacterium. RNAcentral describes it as "partial 16S ribosomal RNA". It matches the Rfam family "Bacterial small subunit ribosomal RNA", at positions 524 to 776 of the family's 1533-position model. The record is from RNAcentral.
UACGUAGGGUGCAAGCGCUAAUCGGAAUUACUGGGCGUAAAGCGUGCGCAGGCGGUUUUGUAAGUCAGAUGUGAAAUCCCCGGGCUUAACCUGGGAACUGCGUUUGAAACUACAAGGCUAGAGUGUGGCAGAGGGGGGUGGAAUUCCACGUGUAGCAGUGAAAUGCGUAGAGAUGUGGAGGAACACCGAUGGCGAAGGCAGCCCCCUGGGUUAACACUGACGCUCAGGCACGAAAGCGUGGGGAGCAAACAGG